RNAcentral lists this unclassified non-coding RNA (205 nucleotides) under Hevea brasiliensis (rubber tree). The record is from RNAcentral. Lineage: Eukaryota; Viridiplantae; Streptophyta; Magnoliopsida; Malpighiales; Euphorbiaceae.
AGAACGUAUGGAUUGCCUAAAGCGAGGAUGUCACAAUUAAAGUUAGAAUCGUCAAUUCACUUCCUUAACCAUUUCAAGGGAAAGAGGUAAUUUCUCUUUCUUUUGGUUUUUUAGAAGAAUUCAAGUAUACCUAAGUGUAUGAGGUUGUUUCAUUUUGAAUUUAAUGUGAUUUUUACAUGAUUUUAAGUUUUGAUUUUGGGAAAAG